Long non-coding RNA from Manihot esculenta (cassava), 3154 nucleotides. RefSeq lists it as uncharacterized. NCBI's taxonomy places the organism in Eukaryota, Viridiplantae, Streptophyta, Magnoliopsida, Malpighiales, Euphorbiaceae. The transcript is spliced from 2 exons. The record is from RefSeq and is a predicted model, not a curated record.
AUUAACGGAUUUCAUAGAGGCCUCUACACAUAAAUGCUAGUAUUACUUUGUUGCACUGGUUGAGCCAUUAGGUAUGCUUAAUUGCUGAUGCAUUGAAGUUUGGCUGGUUGAAACUAUGUAGUUAUAUUAUCCGGUGUGCUUUCUAGUUGAGGUAAUUUGCACUUCUGAAAAUGUGGUAGAAGUUGUGGGACCACCAAACAAAGGAUGCAGGUGUUAACUAAUCAAUUUAUGUGUUUAUGUGAUAUCCAGGAGGCAAAUAUUAUGGCAGCUGAAAUAGGUCUAAGGUUUGAAGAAUUUAGGCUUCAUUGGAGAUUCAAAACCUGGGAAUCAUGAAUAUUAUUUUGAGAAUUGUAUAUCAGAUUCCAAUAUCGGGGAAAUGGUUUAGAAGCACAAAAGUGUGGCAGGGUGGGAAGAGGUUGUUGAUAAGCUGAGAGGCAAACUAAACUCAGCCCCUGAAAAUUCAGUAUUUCAGAGUGCACGGGCCAAAAUCCUUGAUUGAAAUUUGAGAUAUUAGGCUUGAGCACAGUCUCAUGUUGUGGCAUUUUGUUUAGCUUUUUCUUUUUCAUGAUUGUAUUUUUUUUUCCAACUUAUUUUCCUAAAACGAUUUUUCUGACAUGAAUUCAUUUGAGCUUGAAGAAGUCAAACUAACUUAUUGUCCACUUGGAUAUCGUUGUAAUAUACGUAUAGAUAGAGAAUCAAGAUAAUUACUUUACCUUGUAUACAGUGCAUAAUCAUAGGAAGAUACAUAGGAUCAAUUAGAGGAUCAAUUAUAGGGUUAAGUGUAGAAUCUCUUCCUUUUUAAGAUCUUGUAUAUGUGUAUAAAUAUCAUCAUUCAGAAUAGAAUAAACAUGACAACUAUUUCCUACAGAUCUAGUUUGUUACAUGGUAUCAGUGUCUUAAAUUUUUUGAGGUUUUGUUUUUGGGUACUGUCCAUGGGUACUGUUCAUCAGUGCUGUUCAAGAUGUCUGGAAGUCGCGCCUGAUUUUUUAUUGCCUCUGCCUUGCGGUUCCAGCACUAUGCUGUUUUGUUUCUUGGCGCCUCUUUCCUGGUGGUGUUUUGAAGUGUUUUAAAAAUUUAAAAAUGGCCAUCGAUAGUAAGUCUUAUGUAUCGGGACUUACUCAAAGGGUCCACUUCAGUCACUAUCGCUGAGACAGGUAAAAUAUGCCUUCUCAAACAAAUGAGUCAUUGAUUCUGGUGCCACGAAUCAUAUGACAUGACAUGAGGUACCUUCUCUAAGGUACCUUCUCUGGUAACCAUAGGUGGCAAUAUAAUGUUAGAGGGUUCUGGGACUGUUAAGCUUACUCCUUCCAUCACUUUAUCAUCUGUAUUAAGUUUAUCCAAUCUUGCCUUUAAUUACACUGUGAGUAAACUUAUCAAAGGCCUAAACUGUUGUCUCUUUUUUUCCUGAUCAUUGUCUUUUUCAAGAUCUUAUGACAAAGAAAAUUAUUGAUAAAGGAUACAUAUCUGAUGAUGUUUACAUUUUGGAUGCGUGAGUGCCUCAGUCAGUUGCUUGUUCUAGUGUAAUUUCUCCAUUUGAAGUACAUUGUCAGUUCGGACAUCAUUCUUUACCACUUUAAAAAAGUUGUGUCUCCAGUUUCAUGAUGUACCUUUACUGGAAUGUGAGUUGUGAUUUUAUAAAAUAUCAUCGUAUCUCGCUCAGUCCUAGAAUCAAUAAACGGACUGAAUUUGCUUUUGAACUCGUUCAUUAGGACAUUUGGGGACCUUGUCCUGUUGGAUCUACAACUGGAUUAAGGUAUUUUAUUAUUUUUGUGGAUUAUUUUUUUUUGGAUGACCUGGAUUUACUUUAUAAAGAAUCGCUCUGAGUUAAUUUAUCAUUUUUCUGCCUUUUGCGCUAAAAUUAAGAAUCAGUUUAAUGUUUCUGUGCAUAUAUUGAGGAGUGAUAAUGGCAAAGAAUACAUGCCAGAAUUAUUUCAGACUUUUAUGACGAAACAUGGUAUUUUUCACCAAUCGUCCUGUGUUAAUACAUCUGCUCAAAAUGGAGUAGUUGAAGGGAAGAAUAGGCAUCUAUUUGAAAUUGCUUGACCUCUGUUAUUCCAAAUGCAAGUUCCUAAGCAAUUCUGGGUUGACGCUGUCUCUAUCAAUUGUUUUCUCAUUAAUCGCAUGCCAUCUAUGGUAUUUAAUAAUAAUACUCCUAUAAUGUUCUCUUUUCUAAUAAGUCGUCGUUUCCUUUGGAAUCACAAAUUUUUUGCAGUAUUUGCUAUGUUCGGGAUGUCAAAGUUCAUGUGAUUAAACUUGAUCCUAAAGUUAUAAAAUGUAUUUCUUUUGGGAUAUUCUCGUCUUUAGAAGGGGUAUCAGUAAUUCUCUAAAAUAGGUAUCUGGUUUCUCCAGAUGUCUUUUUCGAGAAAAUUUCAUUUUUUCUACAGUACGGACCUUUACCGAUGAAGGGAAGGAAGAUGAGUAGCUCAUCUAUAGGGUCACAAGUGAGAUCUCCACAGGUCUGUCUUCUCCGGCACAACUUGUUGAAGGUGUUCCUCCUAGUAUUCAAUCAUUUGCCAAACCACCGGCAGUUCAAUUUUUUUCUAGAAAAAUAAUCGAUGGCAUAUGUCCUGCACCGGAAUCUUCUUUACCAUCGAAUUCACCAUCGAGUGACCUUAUCUCCUUGUUGGUCUUCUUAAAGAUAAAUAAUAGUGUAAGUCUAUCUAUUUUGUUGAUAACUUUCUUUCUUAUGAUCAUCUGUCUCCCUCUUCUAACUCAUUAAUUGCCUCUCUAGAUUCCAUUUUCUUACCUAGGACAGAUAAAGAGGCCACAUCUCAUUCUGGAUAGCGUGAUGCAUGAAGAGAUCAAGGCUUUAGAUGAUAAUCAUACAUGAGAACUAGUUGAUUUACCCUAAAGCAAGAAGACAGUGGGUUGUAAAUGGAUUUUUGCCAUCAAAGUCAAUCCAUAUAGUUAUGUGCUGCUUCUCAACAUUAGCCUUUACACCAGUUAGAUAUCAAAAAUGUCUUUCUACUUGAUGACCUCCAAGAAGAAGUGUAUAUGCAGCAACCACUUGGGUUUGUUACUCAGGGGAGUAUGAGAAAGUCUGUCGUUUGAAGAAAUCUUUGUAUGGUUUGAAGCAGAAGUCCCAUACUUAGUUUGGCAAGUUCAGUGAUGUUGUUCAAGGAUUUGGAUUAAAAAAGAGCAAGUGUGAUUAUUC